Molecule: ribosomal RNA, 423 nt
Filed under: uncultured bacterium
Lineage: Bacteria
Description: bacterial SSU rRNA
Rfam family: Bacterial small subunit ribosomal RNA
Source: RNAcentral
GACGAACGCUGGCGGCGCGCCUAACACAUGCAAGUCGAACGAGAGAGAAGGAGCUUGCUUCUUCGAUCGAGUGGCGAACGGGUGAGUAACGCGUGAGGAACCUGCCUCAAAGAGGGGGACAACAGUUGGAAACGACUGCUAAUACCGCAUAAGCCCACGGGUCGGCAUCGACCAGAGGGAAAAGGAGCAAUCCGCUUUGAGAUGGCCUCGCGUCCGAUUAGCUAGUUGGUGAGGUAAUGGCCCACCAAGGCGACGAUCGGUAGCCGGACUGAGAGGUUGAACGGCCACAUUGGGACUGAGACACGGCCCAGACUCCUACGGGAGGCAGCAGUGGGGAAUAUUGCACAAUGGGGGAAACCCUGAUGCAGCGACGCCGCGUGGAGGAAGAAGGUCUUCGGAUUGUAAACUCCUGUUGUUGAGGAA